This 479-nucleotide ribosomal RNA is filed under the name uncultured bacterium. RNAcentral's name for it is "bacterial SSU rRNA". It matches the Rfam family "Bacterial small subunit ribosomal RNA", at positions 20 to 507 of the family's 1533-position model. The record is from RNAcentral.
UGGCUCAGGAUGAACGCUAGCGGCAGGCCUAACACAUGCAAGUCGAGCGGGGUUUUCGGACCUAGCGGCGGACGGGUGAGUAAUGCGUAGGAAGCUACCCGAUAGAGGGGGAUACCAGUUGGAAACGACUGUUAAUACCGCAUAAUGUCUACGGACCAAAGUGUGGGACCUUCGGGCCACAUGCUAUCGGAUGCGCCUACGUGGGAUUAGCUAGUUGGUGAGGUAAUGGCUCACCAAGGCGGCGAUCCCUAGCUGGUUUGAGAGGAUGAUCAGCCAUACUGGAACUGAGACACGGUCCAGACUCCUACGGGAGGCAGCAGUGGGGAAUUUUGGACAAUGGGCGCAAGCCUGAUCCAGCAAUGCCGCGUGCAGGAUGAAGGCCUUCGGGUUGUAAACUGCUUUGUACGGAACGAAACGGUGAGCUCUAAUACAGUUUGCUAAUGACGGUACCGUAAGAAUAAGCACCGGCUAACUACGUG